CCAGACUCCUACGGGAGGCAGCAGUGAGGAAUAUUGGUCAAUGGGCGGAAGCCUGAACCAGCCAAGUCGCGUGAGGGAAGAAGGCCCUGCGGGUCGCAGACCUCUUUGGACGGGGAGCAAGGCCGCCGACGUGUCGGCGGAAGGAGAGUACCCGUAGAACAAGCAUCGGCUAACUCCGUGCCAGCAGCCGCGGUAAUACGGAGGAUGCGAGCGUUAUCCGGAUUUAUUGGGUUUAAAGGGUGCGCAGGCGGAAUGUCAAGUCAGCGGUAAAAUUUCGGGGCUCAACCCCGUCGUGCCGUUGAAACUGGCGUUCUUGAGUGAGCGAGAAGUAUGCGGAAUGCGUGGUGUAGCGGUGAAAUGCAUAGAUAUCACGCAGAACUCCGAUUGCGAAGGCAGCAUACCGGCGCUCAACUGACGCUCAUGCACGAAAGCGUGGGUAUCGAACAGGAUUAGAUACCCCAGUA
This 464-nucleotide ribosomal RNA is filed under the name uncultured bacterium. Its description in RNAcentral is "bacterial SSU rRNA". It matches the Rfam family "Bacterial small subunit ribosomal RNA", at positions 331 to 792 of the family's 1533-position model. The record is from RNAcentral.